AACGAACGCUGGCGGCGUGCCUAACACAUGCAAGUCGAGGGAGAAAAGGGGCUUCGGCUCCUGAGUAAACCGGCGCACGGGUGAGUAACACGUAGGUAACGUACCUUCGAGUCUGGGAUAACCAGUCGAAAGACUGGCUAAUACCAGAUACGACUGUGGGAGCUCCGGCUUUUGCAGUGAAAGAUGGCCUCUGCUUGCACGCUAUCACUCGUUGAUCGGCCUGCGCACCAUUAGCUAGUUGGUGAGGUAAUGGCUCACCAAGGCUGAGAUGGUUAGCUGGUCUGAGAGGAUGGCCAG
RNAcentral lists this ribosomal RNA (297 nucleotides) under uncultured bacterium. Its description in RNAcentral is "partial 16S ribosomal RNA". It matches the Rfam family "Bacterial small subunit ribosomal RNA", at positions 29 to 307 of the family's 1533-position model. The record is from RNAcentral.